This 442-nucleotide ribosomal RNA is filed under the name uncultured bacterium. RNAcentral's name for it is "partial 16S ribosomal RNA". It matches the Rfam family "Bacterial small subunit ribosomal RNA", at positions 338 to 795 of the family's 1533-position model. The record is from RNAcentral.
CCUACGGGUGGCAGCAGUGGGGAAUAUUGGGCAAUGGGCGCAAGCCUGACCCAGCAACGCCGCGUGAAGGAAGAAGGCUUUCGGGUUGUAAACUUCUUUUAAGAGGGAAGAGCAGAAGACCGUACCUCUUGAAUAAGCCACGGCUAACUACGUGCCAUCAGCCGCGGGAAUACGUAGGUGGCAAGCGUUGUCCGGAUUUCCUGGGUGUAAAGGGCGUGCAGACGGGAAGACAAGUCAGAUGUGAAAUCCCGCGGCUCAACCGCGGAACUGCAUUUGAUACUGUUUUUCUUGAGUACCGGAGAGGUAAUCGGAAUUCGUGGUGUAGCGGUGAAAUGCGUAGAUAUAAGGAAGAACACCAGUGGCGAAGGCAGAUGACUGGACGGCAACUGACGGUGAGGCGCGAAAGCGUGGGGAGCAAACAGGAUUAGAUACCCCUGUAGUC